RNAcentral lists this signal recognition particle RNA (304 nucleotides) under Nelumbo nucifera (sacred lotus). RNAcentral's name for it is "Plant signal recognition particle RNA". It matches the Rfam family "Plant signal recognition particle RNA". Lineage: Eukaryota; Viridiplantae; Streptophyta; Magnoliopsida; Proteales; Nelumbonaceae. The record is from Rfam by way of RNAcentral.
GCUGAGCUCGGUAGUGUGAGCUUGUAACCCAAGCGGGGGCAUCAAGGCGGUCGGACAUUGUUUCGGUUCUUAACAGGUAGGGUCUGUUAAGGUUUGAUCUGCAUCGUCCGGUCCAAGUAGGGAGUUGGGCCACGCGACUCGGGCGUAGGCUCGGGUUUCAUGGUCCUUGGAGUUGGGCACCGCGUCAGGCUGGUUUCACAGAGCAGCGACAACCUCCCGCUCCCGUCGGUGGAAGGAUAACGAAUCGGUGCCUCGCUGUCCCACUGAAGCCUUAGGAUCCGAGGUCAAUCGGACGGUCACCUUU